This 301-nucleotide long non-coding RNA is filed under the name Prunus persica (peach). RNAcentral's name for it is "long non-coding RNA (PPER_LNC007358)". Lineage: Eukaryota; Viridiplantae; Streptophyta; Magnoliopsida; Rosales; Rosaceae. The record is from RNAcentral.
UAAAUUUUUUAUCCGGCUAAUCAUUCUGGAAAAGAAAAAACUCAAAGGGGGAGAAUACAGACUCAGAUAAUGACCUAAUAUUAAUGAAUAAUGUUCUAAACCACUAUUCGAUAAACAAAAAUUGGGGAAAAAAAAUUAUAAAAAAAAAAAAAUCAUAGUAUCUAGGUAAUGCAUAUAGCCUCGCGGCUAUACCGUUUAUUUAAAAAAAGACCCAGUAAAGCCGCCUGGCUGUACUCAUUUUAAUAAAAAAACAAGUCGGAGUAUAGCCGCCCGGCUAUACGAUUAAAGAACCCACCCUCGC